GCAAGUCGAACGAGAAAACUAUUCGGAGUGAGUAGAGUGGCGCACGGGUGAGUAACACGUAGGUGACCUAUCAUACAGAGGGGGAUAACUAGAAGAAAUUCUGGCUAAUACCGCAUACGAAGCACAAAUUUAAAAGUAGUGCUUGAAAGGAUGCUCCGGCAUUCGCUGAAUGAUGGGCCUGCGUAGCAUUAGUUUGUUGGUGAGGUAACGGCUUACCAAGACUACGAUGCUUAGCUGGUCUGAGAGGAUGAUC
RNAcentral lists this ribosomal RNA (253 nucleotides) under uncultured bacterium. RNAcentral describes it as "partial 16S ribosomal RNA". It matches the Rfam family "Bacterial small subunit ribosomal RNA", at positions 57 to 305 of the family's 1533-position model. The record is from RNAcentral.